RNAcentral lists this long non-coding RNA (226 nucleotides) under Elaeis guineensis (African oil palm). RNAcentral's name for it is "long non-coding RNA (EGUI_LNC026697)". The record is from RNAcentral. Lineage: Eukaryota; Viridiplantae; Streptophyta; Magnoliopsida; Arecales; Arecaceae.
UCCCUUCUUUGCUGUGCCUGUGGGCACGAUUGCCGGCGACGGGUGUCGUCGAAUUUUGUUGGAAAAGAGAACCUUUGUCCGACCUCUUUUCUCCGAUUUUUCGGCACCGACGGUCACCGCCGACCGCCGGUGCAGGCCCUCCGAACUCGGGGGAAGGCCGCCCUUGCCGCCGGCCACCGCCGGGCAAGGGGUAGCCGUGAACGGCUGACGUGGGGAACGGGGAACU